AGCAGAUCAGCCGCUGGGGAAAUACCAGAGGGGAUUUGACAGCUGGGCCAGGUGUUCCAGGACAGCACUUUCCAAAAGAUUUUCCAUCCAAACUUCCAGCAAGAAGUAGAUCUUCCAUCGUUAUCCAGAGCAUAUCUACGCAUUCAGGUAACUGAAGCAACAUUCCAGGAACCCUCACCAUCCCUCCCGUUGAACAGUUCGCUCUCCAGCUGGAGUCAGCUCUGGGCUGCCUCACUUUAACAAAAUGCUGGUUGCAGCCAUUGGAAUUAAUUUUACACCCUCUGAGUUGCAGUGCAAAAUUUGAAGACUGGCAUUUGGAAGCUCAGUAUCAUCAAGGAUUCAUUUAUUUUAUGAUGGUUGACAACAUUUUCCAGGCCACACUAACUGGGUCAGCUGGUAAUAAUAAUAAUAUGAUAAUUGGCCGGGCACGAUGGCUCACGCCUGUAAUCCCAGCUCUUUGGGAGGCUGAGGUGGGCUGAUCGCCUGAGAUCAGGAGUUCGGGACCAGCCUGAUCAACAUGGUGAAACCCCGUCUCUACUAGAAACACAAAAAUUUAGCAUGAUGGCGGGCACCUGUAGACCAGCUGCCUGGGAGGCUGAAGCAGGAGAAUUGCUCGAACCCGGGAGGCAGAGGCCACAGUGAGCCGAGAUAGCACCAUUGCACUUCAGCCUGGGCAGCAGAGUGAAACUCCAUCUCAAAAUAAUAAUAAUAAUAAUAAUAAUAAGCCCCUGAAGGUAUUACACAUGCAGCACUUUCCAGUUUAAAAAGGACUUUCAAAGGACAAGUAGUGUAUGGUCCCAUCCAUAGGAGGUAUCCAGAGUACCCAAAUAUAGAGAUGGGAACUAGCAUGGUGGGUGCCAGGGGCUGGGGGAGGGAGGAAUGGGAAGUUGGUGUUGAAUGGGGACAGAAUUUGAGUUCUGCAAGAUGAAAAAGAUCUAGACAUGCCAUUGCACUCCAGCCUGGGCAACAGAGUGAGACUCCGUCUCAAAAAAAAAAAAGAAAAAGCCAGUUGCGGUGGCUCACGCCUGUAAACCCAGCACUUUGGGAGGCCGAGGCAGGUGGAUCAUGAGGUCAGGAGUUUGAGACCAGCCUGACCAACAUGCUGAAACCCCAUCUCUACUAAUAAUACAAAAAUUAGCUGGCAUGGUGGUGGGCGCCUGUAAUCCCAGCUACUCAGGAGGCUGAGACAGGAGAAUCGCUUGAACCCGGGAGAAAGAGAUUGCCAUGAGCUAAGAUUGCGCCACUGCACUCCAGCCUGGGCAACAGAGCAAGACUCUGAAAAAAGAAAAAUCUAGAAAUGGAUGGUGGUGAUGGUUGCACGACAUUGUGAAUGUAGUUAAUGCCACUGAACUGUGUACUUAAAAAUGGUCAAGAUGGGCCAGGCGCGGUGGCUCACACCUGUGAUCCCAGCACUUUGGGAGGCCCAGGCGGGUGGAUCAUGAGGUUAGGAGAUCGAGACCAGCCUGGCCAACAUGGUGAACCCCAUCUCUACUAAAAAUACAAAAAUUAGCUUGUCGUGGUGGUGCAUGCCUGUAAUCCCAGCUACUCAGGAGGCUGAGGCAGGAGAAUCGCUUGAACCAGGGAUUCGGAGGUUUCAGUGAGCUGAGAUCACGCCACACUGCACUCCAGCCUGGCGACACAGCAAGACUCUCAAAAAAAAAAAAAAGGUCAAGAUGAUAAAUUUUAGGUUGUGUGUAUGUUACUGCUUUUUCACAGAUGAAGAAAACAACACUGACAUGCAUUAUCUCCCAACACCAACCUCAACCCAGCCCUGGAGUGUGAGCAGAGCCAGCAGCAUUUCCAGCCCCGCCUCUGGAGGAAGGAGAGGAACCUGAGACUCUUGGGUGACCUGAGGCGUCUCUGGCAGCACCAGCAAAAGAGCCUGGCCCUGGCCGCCCAGCACAGGUGCUCAGUCCCUCCUGACUGCCACUGCUCCCUCAACACCAAAGCACAGGGUCGCGAGAUGUUGGGAGAGGGUCGGGGAUGCUGGGCUGGGAGAGGACCGGGGGCCUGUCAGAAGCCAUGACAUGAUGCACUCACCGCUCAGGAGGAAGCUACUGGCCUUUGAGUGAAAUCUAUAAGAAUGAACUCUGGAGAUGUAUCGUACAACAUGGAGUCUACAGUUAAAAACUGUAUUGUAUACUGGAAAAUUGCUAAGAUUAGAUCUUCCAUGUUCUCACUACAAAAGCAUAAGUAUGUGAGAUGACGGACGUGUGUGUCAGCUUGAUUUAAUCAUUUUGCAGUGUGGCAAAGCAUCGCACUGUAGGUGGUAAAUAUAUAUACAGUUUUGUCAAUUAUACCUUCAGGAAGCUGGGGUGGUUGGUGUGUGUGUGUGUGUCUGUGUGAUGUGAGGUCAGUGAGGUGCUGAACAUGGUGCAUUAAACAGCA
This 2388-nucleotide long non-coding RNA is filed under the name Homo sapiens (human). RNAcentral describes it as "HSALNT0405161". The stretch from base 421 to 537 matches the Rfam family "Metazoan signal recognition particle RNA". Lineage: Eukaryota; Metazoa; Chordata; Mammalia; Primates; Hominidae. The record is from RNAcentral.